This 83-nucleotide transfer RNA is filed under the name Schistocephalus solidus. It matches the Rfam family "tRNA". From Rfam's summary of the family: Transfer RNA (tRNA) molecules are approximately 80 nucleotides in length. Their secondary structure includes four short double-helical elements and three loops (D, anti-codon, and T loops). Lineage: Eukaryota; Metazoa; Platyhelminthes; Cestoda; Diphyllobothriidea; Diphyllobothriidae. The record is from Rfam by way of RNAcentral.
GGCCUCGUAGCUAAGUUGGCUAAAGCGUUGGCUGUAUUAAGGCCUUCCCCAUGCUGAAGUGGAUUCGAAUCCCACCGAAGCCG